GUGUCAGCCGCCGCGGUAAUACGGAGGGUGCUAGCGUUGUUCGGAAUUAUUGGGCGUAAAGCGCGUGUAGGCGGUCGAGUAAGUCAGAUGUGAAAGCCUUCCGCUUAACGGAAGAAGUGCAUUUGAAACUGCUCGACUGGAGUACGGGAGAGGAGAGUGGAAUUCCCGGUGUAGAGGUGAAAUUCGUAGAUAUCGGGAGGAACACCAGUGGCGAAGGCGGCUCUCUGGUCCGAUACUGACGCUGAGACGCGAAAGCGUGGGGAGCAAACAGGAUUAGAUACCCUGGUAGUCCACGCCGUAAACGAUGGGCACUAGGUGUAGGAGGUAUUGACCCCUUCUGUGCCGAAGCUAACGCAUUAAGUGCCCCGCCUGGGGAGUACGGCCGCAAGGCUAAAACUCAAAUGAAUUGACGGGG
RNAcentral lists this ribosomal RNA (415 nucleotides) under uncultured prokaryote. Its description in RNAcentral is "bacterial SSU rRNA". It matches the Rfam family "Bacterial small subunit ribosomal RNA", at positions 505 to 918 of the family's 1533-position model. The record is from RNAcentral.